CCCAUAUCCUUUGUUGCCAGCGAUUAGCUCGGGAACUCAAAGGCGCCACCCAGAGAAAAACAGGAGGAAGGUGGGGAUGACGACAAGUCAUCAUGGCCCUUACGAACAGGGCUACACACGAGCUACAAUGGCGCAAACAAAGAGAAGCGCCCUCGCGAGAGCAAGAGCACCUCAUAAAGUGAGUCGUAGACCGGAUUAGAGUCUGCAACACGACACCAUAAAGACGGAAU
RNAcentral lists this ribosomal RNA (230 nucleotides) under Salmonella enterica subsp. enterica serovar Typhimurium. Its description in RNAcentral is "partial 16S ribosomal RNA". It matches the Rfam family "Bacterial small subunit ribosomal RNA", at positions 1102 to 1332 of the family's 1533-position model. Lineage: Bacteria; Pseudomonadati; Pseudomonadota; Gammaproteobacteria; Enterobacterales; Enterobacteriaceae. The record is from RNAcentral.